CACGUAGGGCGCAAGCGUUGUCCGGAAUUAUUGGGCGUAAAGAGCUCGUAGGCGUCUGUUGCGUCCGCUGUGAAAACUCGGGGCUUAACCCCGAGCCUGCAGUGGAUACGGGCAGACUAGAGGUAGGUAGGGGAGAAUGGAAUUCCCGGUGUAGCGGUGAAAUGCGCAGAUAUCGGGAGGAACACCGGUGGCGAAGGCGGCUCUCUGGAACGCAACUGACGCUGAGACGCGAAAGCGUGGGGAGCAAACAGGG
RNAcentral lists this ribosomal RNA (253 nucleotides) under uncultured bacterium. Its description in RNAcentral is "partial 16S ribosomal RNA". It matches the Rfam family "Bacterial small subunit ribosomal RNA", at positions 524 to 777 of the family's 1533-position model. The record is from RNAcentral.